CAAAAACAUCUCUUCUUGACUUAGUUAAGAUAAGAAGUAGGCCCUGCCCGGUGGCUUAGCGGCUAAACGGCGGUUAAAGCCUUAAAGUAGCGUAAUAAAUUGGCCUUUAACAGAGGUCUAGUAUGAAAGGGUUUGACGUUGGGGCAACUAUCUUACGGAGGACUCUUGAAAUUUACCUCCUAGUAAAAAGGCUGGAUUUUCCUUAAUAGACGAGAAGACCCUGUCGAGCUUGUUAACCUGAUCUUGGUUUUUCGGCGAUGGUAGAUUGGUUGGGGCAACAACGGAGAAAAUACAAACCUCUAGUUUACUUUGAAUAAAGGUCCUUCAUUUGUGGCGAAGAGGAUUAGUUACCGCAGGGAUAACAGCGCAAGACCGCUGCCGAGGUCUUAUUGUGUGGCGGUAUUUGCGACCUCGAUGUUGGAUUAGGGUAUCGUCCAGGCGCAGAAGCUUGGGUGGAAGGUCUGUUCGCCCUUUAAACCCCUACAUGAUCUGAGUUCAAACCGGAGA
Molecule: ribosomal RNA, 507 nt
Filed under: Ctenocardia gustavi
Lineage: Eukaryota; Metazoa; Mollusca; Bivalvia; Cardiida; Cardiidae
Description: partial 16S ribosomal RNA
Rfam family: Bacterial large subunit ribosomal RNA
Source: RNAcentral